Molecule: transfer RNA, 72 nt
Filed under: Camelus bactrianus (Bactrian camel)
Lineage: Eukaryota; Metazoa; Chordata; Mammalia; Artiodactyla; Camelidae
Also listed under: 2 other names
Rfam family: tRNA
About the family: Transfer RNA (tRNA) molecules are approximately 80 nucleotides in length. Their secondary structure includes four short double-helical elements and three loops (D, anti-codon, and T loops). Further hydrogen bonds mediate the characteristic L-shaped molecular structure. tRNAs have two regions of fundamental functional importance: the anti-codon, which is responsible for specific mRNA codon recognition, and the 3' end, to which the tRNAs corresponding amino acid is attached (by aminoacyl-tRNA synthetases). tRNAs cope with the degeneracy of the genetic code in two manners: having more than one tRNA (with a specific anti-codon) for a particular amino acid; and 'wobble' base-pairing, i.e. permitting non-standard base-pairing at the 3rd anti-codon position.
Source: Rfam by way of RNAcentral
GGGUAUAUAGCUCAGGGGUAGCGUGCAUGCCUACAAUGCACGAGAUCCUGGGUUCAAGCCCCAGUACCUCCA